GCCGCGGUAAACUCGGCGGCGGCCGCGCGUCGCUGCCGCUGUUCCUCCAGCUGCCGUUUCCUCUGCGGGCCUCUCUCACCCGGGGCGCGGGGGGGGGGGGGGGAAACGGAGUUGUUAUUUCUGGCCGUUUCCAUAGCAACUGCAGCCACGCGCUGGGAGCGGAAUCAGUGAACUAGGCCUGGCGCGCUCCUGGAUCCCUCGGGCUUUGCCCGCAGCCUCCGGCAGAGACUCGAGAAAUUCACACAGCCAAUAAUGAAACUGAUGCUGAGACUGAAACAGCACAAGCUUUGUUGAAUGGCCGUUCAGUGGCUGAGAAUGGAAGUGGAAACUUAGUUCACAAAUCAACUUCUCCUCAGGGAAGAUCAGGGCAAGAUUUUUAAAGGGCACGUGGGUUCGAGCUCUGGUCCAGGAAGAUCAUACAUGCCGUGGAGAAGCUAAGUCCGUGUGCCACAGCUACUGAGCCUGUGCUCUAGAGCCUGCGAGCCACAACUACUGAGCCCGCAUGCCACAACUACUGAAGCCUGCGCGCCUGGAGCCCGUGCUCUGCAAUAAGAGAAGCCACGGCAACGAGAAGCCCAUCCACCACAACGAAGGGUAACCCCUGCUCUCUGCAAUUAGAGAAAGCCCGUGCGCAGCAACGAAGACCCAACACAGCCAAAAAUAAAUAAAUUGUAAGAAAAAUUUAUUUUUCAAAAUUAUUUUCAAAAUAAUAAAAUAUUUUCAAAAUAAUAAAAAA
Long non-coding RNA from Balaenoptera ricei (Rice's whale), 736 nucleotides. RefSeq lists it as uncharacterized. The transcript has 3 exons. The record is from RefSeq and is a predicted model, not a curated record. NCBI's taxonomy places the organism in Eukaryota, Metazoa, Chordata, Mammalia, Artiodactyla, Balaenopteridae.